RNAcentral lists this ribosomal RNA (497 nucleotides) under uncultured bacterium. Its description in RNAcentral is "partial 16S ribosomal RNA". It matches the Rfam family "Bacterial small subunit ribosomal RNA", at positions 28 to 507 of the family's 1533-position model. The record is from RNAcentral.
GAUGAACGCUGGCGGCGUGCCUAAUACAUGCAAGUCGAGCGAACGGACGAGAAGCUUGCUUCUCUGAUGUUAGCGGCGGACGGGUGAGUAACACGUGGAUAACCUACCUAUAAGACUGGGAUAACUUCGGGAAACCGGAGCUAAUACCGGAUGAUAUUUUGAACCGCAUGGUUCAAAAGUGAAAGACGGUCUUGCUGUCACUUAUAGAUGGAUCCGCGCUGCGUUAGCUAGUUGGUAAGGUAACGGCUUACCAAGGCAACGAUGCAUAGCCGACCUGAGAGGGUGAUCGGCCACACUGGAACUGAGACACGGUCCAGACUCCUACGGGAGGCAGCAGUAGGGAAUCUUCCGCAACGGGCGAAAGCCUGACGGAGCAACGCCGCGUGAGUGAUGAAGGUCUUCGGAUCGUAAAACUCUGUUAUUAGGGAAGAACAUAUGUGUAAGUAACUGUGCACAUCUUGACGGUACCUAAUCAGAAAGCCACGGCUAACUACGUG